This 1031-nucleotide ribosomal RNA is filed under the name Dendropsophus ebraccatus (hourglass treefrog). Its description in RNAcentral is "partial 16S ribosomal RNA". It matches the Rfam family "Bacterial large subunit ribosomal RNA", at positions 1249 to 2925 of the family's 2925-position model. The record is from RNAcentral. Lineage: Eukaryota; Metazoa; Chordata; Amphibia; Anura; Hylidae.
CCCUUAACCCCUAUUAAGUAAUUCUAUAGUUUUAUAGAAGCCAUCAUGUUAAAACCAGUAAUAAGAAGANAGACCUUCUCUUAAGUGUAAGUGUAAAACAGAAAGGACACACCACUGACAAUUAUUCGCCUUUGAUCCCAUUGCAGCAANCUUCACUAGAAAACUCUGUUUCCCNNNNUAAGCGUUGACCUAACACUAGAGCACUCCAAGAAAGAUUAAAAGAAAAAGAAGGAACUCGGCAAACAUUAACCUCGCCUGUUUACCAAAAACAUCGCCUCUUGUCCUCCGUAUAAGAGGUCCAGCCUGCCCAGUGACUAAGUUCAACGGCCGCGGUAUCCUAACCGUGCGAAGGUAGCGUAAUCACUUGUUCUUUAAAUGAGGACUAGUAUGAACGGCGCCACGAGGGUUAUACUGUCUCCUUUUUCCAAUCAAUGAAACUGAUCUUCCCGUGAAGAAGCGGGAAUUUUUAUAUUAGACGAGAAGACCCUAUGGAGCUUUAAACUANUAUAGCACUGGCUUUCACUNNNUCUACCUCUCCCCUNNNNNGGGAAUUCACACAUAUUAUAGCCUNUAUGACUAUUAGUUUUAGGUUGGGGUGACCGCGGAGAAUAGAUUAACCUCCACGCUGAACAGAACUANAUCUUAAGCCAAAAGCCACAACUUCAAGCAUCAAUAAACUGACAUAAAUUGACCCAAUAUUUUGAGCAACGAACCAAGUUACCCUAGGGAUAACAGCGCAAUCCACUUCAAGAGCUCCUAUCGACAAGCGGGUUUACGACCUCNGAUGUUGGAUCAGGGUACCCCAGUGGUGCAGCCGCUACUAAAGGUUCGUUUGUUCAACGAUUAAAACCCUACGUGAUCUGAGUUCAGACCGGAGCAAUCCAGGUCAGUUUCUAUGUAUAANAAGGGCUUUUCUAGUACGAAAGGACCGNAAAAAGCAUGGCCAAUACCUCAAGCAAGCCAUCACNUAUAAUUUAUGAAUUAACCUCAAUAAAACCCAAACCUACCAUNNUUUUUCCAAGAAAAAGAAN